RNAcentral lists this ribosomal RNA (253 nucleotides) under uncultured bacterium. RNAcentral describes it as "partial 16S ribosomal RNA". It matches the Rfam family "Bacterial small subunit ribosomal RNA", at positions 524 to 776 of the family's 1533-position model. The record is from RNAcentral.
UACGGAGGGUGCGAGCGUUGUCCGGAAUCACUGGGCGUAAAGGGCGCGUAGGCGGCCUGAUAAGUAGGGGGUGAAAUCCCUCGGCUUAACCGGGGAACUGCGUCUGAUACUGGAUGGCUUGAGUGUGGGAGAGGGAUGCGGAAUUCCAGGUGUAGCGGUGAAAUGCGUAGAUAUCUGGAGGAACACCCGUAGCGAAGGCGGCACUCUGGGCCGGUACUGACGCUGAGGAGCGAAAGCGUGGGGAGCAAACAGG